CACAUAUGCAGGGUGGGGUUUGACCUCUUCUCCCAGGUAGCUAGUGACAGAACAAAGACAGACUGGAGCUGUGCCAGGGGAGGGUCAGGCUGGAUAGAAUAGGAAUUUCUUCACUGAAGGGGUUGUUCAUCACUGGAAUAGACGGCCCAGGGAGUGGAGUCACCAUCACUGGGAACCUAGUACAGCUCAUCUCACAGCGUGGCAUUGCUGGGUGUAUCUGUGACAAAUAGCCAACAGCAUAAAAUGCAUGGAGUUAAUAUUACUGAGGUUGAACAGUUCCACAUUGCUUUCAUGGCAAAAUUAAUCAGGGAUUUUGGAGGCCUCUUGUUUUCAAGGGCAAAUAGAAUGUCUGCUGUGUUUGUGGAAGACUUGAUACUGAGUGCUCAGGAAUAGGGACUUGGAAAUCUUGUGUCCAGAGAAGAAAAUUCACAUGAGGCUGAAGGAGAUAAGGCUCCAGGGUUUGGAAGAGAUGAGCAGGAAGGAAUGUAUAGACCCCCUCCAGUUCGGGGCCCUCACAAACCAGGGACAUGCAGCACAGGCUGGGUGGGGAUGUUAGAGCCUGCCCUGGCUGUGGGGUGCCUGACUGCACUGAGCCUAACACAGGGCUCUGGCCUCCUUUGCCGUCAUCCAGGAGAAGGAUGAAGGAAUGGAGUGGUGGUAGACACUAGAAUCUGGACAGAAGUUGAAAUUUGAUCUGCAGAGUAUUUUUAUCCUACAUUUUGACUACCUUUCAGAAAAAAUAGUGUAGAUUCUGUAGGCAGAUGGACACAACAGCACUGCAAAGUGUGAAUUUCUUCCGGCUGUCUUAAUGGAGUGUUGAUUUUAAAACCUAAUUUCAUUGCUGCUUGCUAUGCAGUUAGCACACAGUGCAUACAUUUGGUUAGUUCGGCUGUGCGAUGCCAUACUUUGUUUUGGGGUGGAUGUCACUAUUGACACUUCAAUCAAAACAUCUUUGUAAGAGAGAACUGAUUCCAAGGCAUCUGCUUAUAAAUGAGUGGUGCUGGUGAUGUCUGGAUCUUAGUACCACAAAGUCCUCCUUGAAACCACUCGCUCUUCCGUCUUCCCAGAGGAUCCCAGAAGAAAGGCUUUUAGCCUUAUGCGAUGAGAAAUAGAGUGAUUCCUUAAGGUCUUCAACUUCCAUAUCCAUGUCCUGUUGAUAUAACUUGGGAAUGAGCUCAUGAGAUAAAACCAGUAAAUGUGGCCUCUGAGGAUUUUGGCCCUGAGUCCAGUGAAGUAUUUCUAAGUAUGCUUAACUCCAGGCACAUGACUGCUCCAGCAAACAUUUGGAAGACUUUCUACAGGCUCAAAGGAUUAGCAAGCCAUCUCUCCACACUGCCCAGAUUCCCCCUCUGCCUCCACCAGCUCUCUCUAUGUGGCCAAAGAGAUGGUUAUUCAAUCUGUGAAGUAUGGGACAAUCCAUAUUCACAUUAUCCCAAGGGAAGCUCUUUGAAAGAAUUGUGACCUCUUU
Molecule: long non-coding RNA, 1468 nt
Organism: Poecile atricapillus (Black-capped chickadee)
Lineage: Eukaryota; Metazoa; Chordata; Aves; Passeriformes; Paridae
Exons: 8
Source: RefSeq, a predicted model, not a curated record